GCGGUGGUGGUGUAAUUAAUGGUCAGCAUAGUUGCCUUCCAAGCAGUUGAUCCGGGUUCGAUUCCCGGCCACCGCA
Molecule: non-coding RNA, 76 nt
Organism: Schistocerca gregaria
Lineage: Eukaryota; Metazoa; Arthropoda; Insecta; Orthoptera; Acrididae
Source: the annotation of a RefSeq genome assembly